Molecule: ribosomal RNA, 253 nt
Filed under: uncultured bacterium
Lineage: Bacteria
Description: partial 16S ribosomal RNA
Rfam family: Bacterial small subunit ribosomal RNA
Source: RNAcentral
UACGUAGGGGGCUAGCGUUGUCCGGAAUCAUUGGGCGUAAAGAGCGCGUAGGCGGCCAGAUAAGUCCGGUGUGAAAGUCACAGGCUCAACCUGUGAAUGCCGCUGGAAACUGUCUGGCUAGAGUCCGGAAGGGGCGAGUGGAAUUCCUGGUGUAGCGGUGAAAUGCGCAGAUAUCAGGAGGAACACCAAUGGCGAAGGCAGCUCGCUGGGACGGUACUGACGCUGAGGCGCGAAAGCCAGGGGAGCAAACGGG